UGGAGGCAAGGUAGCUUCUUGAAGGC
This 26-nucleotide non-coding RNA is filed under the name Homo sapiens (human). Lineage: Eukaryota; Metazoa; Chordata; Mammalia; Primates; Hominidae. The record is from RNAcentral.